Long non-coding RNA from Phragmites australis (common reed), 1385 nucleotides. RefSeq lists it as uncharacterized. The transcript has 2 exons. Lineage: Eukaryota; Viridiplantae; Streptophyta; Magnoliopsida; Poales; Poaceae. The record is from RefSeq and is a predicted model, not a curated record.
UUUCCGGCUGUCCCUUUUUACCGCCAUACCUUCUUUCCCUAUCCUUUUCCACUCUCAAUUUCUGUUUCGCUCCCCGAUUCCUGUUUCCGCUCCAUUCUCGUUCCGCGUUUCGUCUUCCUCUACGCGUUUCACCCCUCCCCCGUGGUCCAUGUUCCACUCCCAUCUAUUCCGCCACGAUCUAGUUCUGCUCCCUCGUCCGUUCCGCUCGUUCCGCUCCUCCCUCCCCGUCUGCGAUCCACGCCCUCCAGAGAUCUCGCACUCCCAUUCCGUCCUUCCUCCUGCUCCAUCAGCGUGCCAUCCACUACUCCACCUCCCGCAAACGUGCACCUCCCUCGCCCGCGCAUCCAAUCCAUCCCCGUGCUACAGCCCUUUCCCCAGCAACACCACGCGCUUGCCCUAUGCCUCUAGCCCCAACGCUGAUCCUCUCCUCUCAUCGAUGCUCCAUCUCCGCGCAACCCCGCCAGAUUCUAUGUCCCCUUUCACGCACCCGAGGAGGACGAGGAUUGAGCUGAGGAGCAGAUCUCCCAGUACCUGAGGAGGAGGAACAUACCUCACCGUACAUGAGGAUGCCGCCAUCACUUCCUUCACUAGCGCCGCUUCACCCCUCUCUGUGCCGCACCGCGCUGCCCCUCCCCUCCCGUGCAGAUCUUGGAUGCGCACGCAUAUCCGGCUGAUGGAUCAGCUUCCAGAUCGUCGGACUACACCGCGCAACGAUCGUGGAGCGACGGGUUCCUACCAUCCCGGUGCCUCUCGAAGUCACAUUCGGAGCAGAGUAACAAUCCCGCUUCCGCAUCUCCACUCUGGCCUAGAGUCUCGGUGUGGAGGCUUCAGAGGAAGGAGAGGAGAAUCAAUUUGCAAGGCUUCGGCAGAUCUAUCAAUUCAUGAGUGAUCUGCAGCUCGAUAGGUUCGUGAUUUUUUCUUUUAUUUGUUUUCCUAAUUUUUUUGUCAUUCUUUUGAAAGAUCUGGGAUGCUCCAGUGAACCAAGUGAAGCAAUCACAGCUGCUAUGAUCUAUUCCGCGACUACCGGUCUUUCCAAUGAAUCGAGUGAAGGAACCAGGUCAAGAACAGUUCGUGAUGGAACCAUCAAUUCGUGCAGACCUGGAUUCCUGACGCGACGUCGCUAGAUUCACAGUUCAAUUGUUCUAGAUCAAUGUGGUUUUGAUGAAUUUUGGUGCAGAUCCCGGCUUCUCAGGGCUACGGCGAAGGGCAGCGAUGCGUGAGCCUGUCUGUUUUGUUCUUUAGAUUUUGUUAGGACUUUCAGUUCGCAGUUUGGUUGUUAAUGGGAGAUGGGUAAAUCAUAUGGAUGUUCAUGAAGCGUGAUUAAUUCUCAUGACUUGGAUAGUGCUGGAUUAUGAAUGAAAUCUUGUGGGAAAUUUGAGUGGUGA